Molecule: ribosomal RNA, 440 nt
Filed under: uncultured bacterium
Lineage: Bacteria
Description: partial 16S ribosomal RNA
Rfam family: Bacterial small subunit ribosomal RNA
Source: RNAcentral
CCUACGGGUGGCAGCAGUGGGGAAUAUUGCACAAUGGGGGAAACCCUGAUGCAGCGACGCCGCGUGAGUGAAGAAGUAUUUCGGUAUGUAAAGCUCUAUCAGCAGGGAAGAAAAUGACGGUACCUGACUAAGACGCCCCGUCUAACUACGUGCCAGCAGCCGCGGUAAUACGUAGGGGGCAAGCGUUAUCCGGAUUUACUGGGUGUAAAGGGAGCGUAGACGGCAGCGCAAGUCUGAAGUGAAAUCCCAGGGCUUAACCAUGGAACUGCUGUGGAAACUGUGCAGCUAGAGUGCAGGAGAGGUAAGCGGAAUUCCUAGUGUAGCGGUGAAAUGCGUAGAUAUUAGGAGGAACACCAGUGGCGAAGGCGGCUUACUGGACUGUAACUGACGCUGAGGCUCGAAAGCGUGGGGAGCAAACAGGAUUAGAUACCCCUGUAGUC